UACGUAGGGUGCAAGCGUUAAUCGGAAUUACUGGGCGUAAAGCGUGCGCAGGCGGUUCGCUAAGACAGAUGUGAAAUCCCCGGGCUUAACCUGGGAACUGCAUUUGUGACUGGCGGGCUAGAGUAUGGGCAGAGGGGGGUAGAAUUCCACGUGUAGCAGUGAAAUGCGUAGAGAUGUGGAGGAAUACCGAUGGCGAAGGCCAGCCCCCUAGGCCAAUACUGACGCUCAUGCACGAAAGCGUGGGGAGCAAACAGG
Molecule: ribosomal RNA, 255 nt
Filed under: uncultured bacterium
Lineage: Bacteria
Description: partial 16S ribosomal RNA
Rfam family: Bacterial small subunit ribosomal RNA
Source: RNAcentral